This 669-nucleotide unclassified non-coding RNA is filed under the name Hevea brasiliensis (rubber tree). Lineage: Eukaryota; Viridiplantae; Streptophyta; Magnoliopsida; Malpighiales; Euphorbiaceae. The record is from RNAcentral.
GGAGUCCAUCUUUUUCUCUCAUCGUCUCACGCUUUCAGGCCCUCGGCUCUCCGCCUCGACUUUCGGCAGACUGCAGCCGGCUAUUCACUCUCACAGUCUCUCGAUUCACUCGAAGAAUCCCCCGCCUCUGAAUCUAGCCGCAGCACAGAAGCAAGAAGCAAAGCGUUGCCUGCCCCUCAACCUUGCCGCUGCACGGAAGCAAUUUGCUGCCCCUCAUCCUUCCCGCAUCACAGAAGCAAUCCAUCAGGAACAAGUAAACCAAAACACCAAGGAAAAUGGAUGCUGGUCUGAAUGGAGAUUCUAUGGAAAAGCUUAAGGGUGUGCAAAUUACCUCUCUUGAUGAUGAUGAUGAUGAUGAUUUUGAAGGACAAGAAAAUGAAGAAGAACAAGAACCAACUCUUGAAGAAGAAGAAGACGAUGAUGAUGACGAAGAAGAAGAACCAGUAACCCUAGGUUUUGUGGAGAAGCCUAAACAUUCUUGGUCUCUUCUUCGGCAAUUAUUUCCUAGCAAGGCUGGUGGUGUGCCGGCAUGGUUAGAUCCAGUCAAUGUACCAUCUGGAAGGUCCUGUGCUUGUGACAUAUGUGGAAAUCCCCANNNNNNNNNNNNNGCACCAAUAUCUGAGAAGGAAUCAACAUUUCAUCGAACAUUAUUCUUAUUUAUGUGCCCCA